RNAcentral lists this ribosomal RNA (232 nucleotides) under uncultured Actinomycetes bacterium. Its description in RNAcentral is "uncultured actinobacterium partial 16S ribosomal RNA". It matches the Rfam family "Bacterial small subunit ribosomal RNA", at positions 233 to 477 of the family's 1533-position model. The record is from RNAcentral. Lineage: Bacteria; Bacillati; Actinomycetota; Actinomycetes.
GCGGCCUAUCAGCUUGUUGGUGGGGUGAUGGCCUACCAAGGCGACGACGGGUAGCCGGCCUGAGAGGGUGACCGGCCACACUGGGACUGAGAUACGGCCCAGACUCCUACGGGAGGCAGCAGUGGGGAAUAUUGCACAAUGGGCGCAAGCCUGAUGCAGCGACGCCGCGUGAGGGAUGACGGCCUUCGGGUUGUAAACCUCUUCCAGCACCGACGAAUUUUUUUUGACGGUA